Molecule: ribosomal RNA, 993 nt
Filed under: Acinetobacter sp. M.negtv.27.3
Lineage: Bacteria; Pseudomonadati; Pseudomonadota; Gammaproteobacteria; Moraxellales; Moraxellaceae
Description: bacterial SSU rRNA
Rfam family: Bacterial small subunit ribosomal RNA
Source: RNAcentral
CGCUGGCGGCAGGCUUACACAUGCAAGUCGAGCGGGGUGAUGGUGCUUGCACUAUCACUUAGCGGCGGACGGGUGAGUAAUGCUUAGGAAUCUGCCUAUUAGUGGGGGACAACAUCUCGAAAGGGAUGCUAAUACCGCAUACGUCCUACGGGAGAAAGCAGGGGAUCACUUGUGACCUUGCGCUAAUAGAUGAGCCUAAGUCGGAUUAGCUAGUUGGUGGGGUAAAGGCCUACCAAGGCGACGAUCUGUAGCGGGUCUGAGAGGAUGAUCCGCCACACUGGGACUGAGACACGGCCCAGACUCCUACGGGAGGCAGCAGUGGGGAAUAUUGGACAAUGGGGGGAACCCUGAUCCAGCCAUGCCGCGUGUGUGAAGAAGGCCUUAUGGUUGUAAAGCACUUUAAGCGAGGAGGAGGCUCUUUUGGUUAAUACCCAAGAUGAGUGGACGUUACUCGCAGAAUAAGCACCGGCUAACUCUGUGCCAGCAGCCGCGGUAAUACAGAGGGUGCAAGCGUUAAUCGGAUUUACUGGGCGUAAAGCGCGCGUAGGCGGCCAAUUAAGUCAAAUGUGAAAUCCCCGAGCUUAACUUGGGAAUUGCAUUCGAUACUGGUUGGCUAGAGUGUGGGAGAGGAUGGUAGAAUUCCAGGUGUAGCGGUGAAAUGCGUAGAGAUCUGGAGGAAUACCGAUGGCGAAGGCAGCCAUCUGGCCUAACACUGACGCUGAGGUGCGAAAGCAUGGGGAGCAAACAGGAUUAGAUACCCUGGUAGUCCAUGCCGUAAACGAUGUCUACUAGCCGUUGGGGCCUUUGAGGCUUUAGUGGCGCAGCUAACGCGAUAAGUAGACCGCCUGGGGAGUACGGUCGCAAGACUAAAACUCAAAUGAAUUGACGGGGGCCCGCACAAGCGGUGGAGCAUGUGGUUUAAUUCGAUGCAACGCGAAGAACCUUACCUGGGCCUUGACAUAGUAGAAACUUUCCAGAGAUGGAUUGGUGCCU